GACGAACGCUGGCGGCGUGCCUAAUACAUGCAAGUUGAGCGCUGAAGGUUGGUACUUGUACCAACUGGAUGAGCAGCGAACGGGUGAGUAACGCAUGGGGAAUCUGCCUUUGAGCGGGGGACAACAUUUGGAAACGAAUGCUAAUACCGCAUAAAAACUUUAAACACAAGUUUUAAGUUUGAAAGAUGCAAUUGCAUCACUCAAAGAUGAUCCCGCGUUGUAUUAGCUAGUUGGUGAGGUAAAGGCUCACCAAGGCGAUGAUACAUAGCCGACCUGAGAGGGUGAUCGGCCACAUUGGGACUGAGACACGGCCCAAACUCCUACGGGAGGCAGCAGUAGGGAAUCUUCGGCAAUGGACGAAAGUCUGACCGAGCAACGCCGCGUGAGUGAAGAAGGUUUUCGGAUCGUAAAACUCUGUUGGUAGAGAAGAACGUUGGUGGGAGUGGAAAGCUCAUCAAGUGACGGUAACUACCCAGAAAGGGACGGCUAACUACGU
This 496-nucleotide ribosomal RNA is filed under the name uncultured bacterium. Its description in RNAcentral is "partial 16S ribosomal RNA". It matches the Rfam family "Bacterial small subunit ribosomal RNA", at positions 28 to 506 of the family's 1533-position model. The record is from RNAcentral.